RNAcentral lists this ribosomal RNA (388 nucleotides) under uncultured bacterium. RNAcentral's name for it is "bacterial SSU rRNA". It matches the Rfam family "Bacterial small subunit ribosomal RNA", at positions 28 to 417 of the family's 1533-position model. The record is from RNAcentral.
GACGAACGCUGGCGGCGUGCUUAACACAUGCAAGUCGAGCGGUAAGGCCCUUUCGGGGGUACACGAGCGGCGAACGGGUGAGUAACACGUGGGUGACCUGCCUUUAGCUCUGGGAUAAGCCUGGGAAACUGGGUCUAAUACCGGAUAUGACCCUAUGGCGCAUGUUGUGGGGUGGAAAGCCUUGUGCGGCUAGGGAUGGGCCCGCGGCCUAUCAGCUUGUUGGUGGGGUGAUGGCCUACCAAGGCGACGACGGGUAGCCGGCCUGAGAGGGCGACCGGCCACGCUGGGACUGAGACACGGCCCAGACUCCUACGGGAGGCAGCAGUGGGGAAUCUUGCGCAAUGGGCGAAAGCCUGACGCAGCGACGCCGCGUGAGGGAUGACGGCCU